This 497-nucleotide ribosomal RNA is filed under the name uncultured bacterium. RNAcentral describes it as "partial 16S ribosomal RNA". It matches the Rfam family "Bacterial small subunit ribosomal RNA", at positions 28 to 507 of the family's 1533-position model. The record is from RNAcentral.
GAUGAACGCUGGCGGCGUGCCUAAUACAUGCAAGUCGAGCGAACAGACGAGGAGCUUGCUCCUCUGACGUUAGCGGCGGACGGGUGAGUAACACGUGGAUAACCUACCGAUAAGACUGGGAUAACUUCGGGAAACCGGAUCUAAUACCGGAUAAUAUAUUGAACCGCAUGGUUCAAUAGUGAAAGACGGUUUUGCUGUCACUUAUAGAUGGAUCCUGGUCGCAUUAGCUAGUUGGUAAGGUAACGGCUUACCAAGGCAACGAUGCGUAGCCGACCUGAGAGGGUGAUCGGCCACACUGGAACUGAGACACGGUCCAGACUCCUACGGGAGGCAGCAGUAGGGAAUCUUCCGCAAUGGGCGAAAGCCUGACGGAGCCACGCCGCGUGAGUGAUGAAGGUCUUCGGAUCGUAAAGCUCUGUUAUUAGGGAGGAACAAAUGUGUAAGUAAAUAUGCACGUCUUGACGGUACCUAAUCAGAAAGCCCCGGCUAACUACGUG